Long non-coding RNA from Helianthus annuus (common sunflower), 821 nucleotides. RefSeq lists it as uncharacterized. Lineage: Eukaryota; Viridiplantae; Streptophyta; Magnoliopsida; Asterales; Asteraceae. The transcript has 3 exons. The record is from RefSeq and is a predicted model, not a curated record.
CGUUAGAAGGGUACCAUGUUUAAUUAAAUAAAUAUAAUAACUAAGUUAUUAAACUUGGUUAAAUGUUUAAGAAAACAAUCAAGGGAAGGAAAUUACUACAUUUGUGAUCAAGUAACAACUAGAGGGGCCAAGGUUGUCAAUAAAGAGGAAAGUUUAUGUUUAAUUAAAAUAAAAAUUAAAACCCCAAAAAAAAUACACACUCAGUGUGUGUGUGUGGGUCGAUGUUCGACCAGGAGAGAAAGGAAAAGGGGUAAAACCCUAGAUCACCAAAAUCCAUCAAAUUGAAGGAGGAUUGAAGGGCUAAUCGAAUGCAUGAACCAGGAAUGUCGAUCAUUUAAGUGUUUCUACCAUCAUGAACGUGUCAAGGAGAGGUCAAGCAUAGGAGGAUAACGGGUCAAGAUAAGGCAAGGUGACAAAUACACUUAUUGGAGUACUCAAGGUAUGGGAUUGUUGGCUUCAUGAAGAAAUGGAGCUGGAUUUGGAUAAGAGUAUUUAAGAAAGCGCUUGGACAAUUCCAUGAUUACUUUAUGGAAUGCUCUACGAAAUUCUAUUAUAUAGGUUAAUGUUGUAUGGUAUGUUAAUGACUAAUGGUUUGGUUGUACGUGGUGUCCACAGGUAUCGCUUGGGUUUUCUCUACAUUUAUUGAAGUCAAGCAGGGCUUAGUUCGAGUUGAGAGCAAGGAUUGUAUGGGGUAGAACGAUCACACAAUGAGAUUUAUAUAAGUCUUGAUGUGUAAAUCUGUUUAAAUGAAUAUAUGGUAUUUCGUAUUUGAACCUUCAUGUGAUUGACAUGUCUAAUAAAGAACGAAAUUUUUGGACUCA